AUUGAACGCUGGCGGCAUGCUUUACACAUGCAAGUCGAACGGCAGCGCGGGCUUCGGCCUGGCGGCGAGUGGCGAACGGGUGAGUAAUACAUCGGAACGUGCCCAGUAGUGGGGGAUAGCUCGGCGAAAGCCGGAUUAAUACCGCAUACGACCUGAGGGUGAAAGCGGGGGAUCUUCGGACCUCGCGCUAUUGGAGCGGCCGAUGGCAGAUUAGCUAGUUGGUGGGGUAAAGGCCUACCAAGGCGACGAUCUGUAGCUGGUCUGAGAGGACGACCAGCCACACUGGGACUGAGAAACGGCCCAGACUCCAACGGGAGGCAGCAGUGGGGAAUUUGGGACAAUGGGCGAAAGCCUGAUCCAGCAAUGCCGCGUGUGUGAUGAAGGCCUGCGGGUUGUAAAGCACUUUUGGCGGGAACGAAAAGGACUGUGCCAAUACCACGGUUCGAUGACGGUACCCGCAGAAUAAGCACCGGCUAACUACGU
Molecule: ribosomal RNA, 483 nt
Filed under: uncultured bacterium
Lineage: Bacteria
Description: partial 16S ribosomal RNA
Rfam family: Bacterial small subunit ribosomal RNA
Source: RNAcentral